GGGGGGGGGUGGGGGCGGGGGGGGGGGGUGGAGGGCGGGGGGGGGCACAGGUGGCGGGGCGGGGUGGCGACGGGCGGACGGGUGAGGAAGGCGUAUGCAACUUACCUAUCAGAGGGGGAUAACCCGUCGAAAGUCGGACUAAUACCGCAUGGAGCAGGGGUCCCGGAUGGGGAGAUUUGCUAAAGAUGCAUCGCUGAUAGAUAGGCAUGCGAUCCCUUAGGCAGUUGGCGGGGUAAAGGCCCACCAAACCCGCGAUGGAUAGGGGUUCUGAGAGGAAGGUCCCCCACAUUUGUACUGCGACAAGGACCAAACUCCUACGGGAGGCAGCAGUGAGGAAUAUUGAUCAAUGGCCGAGAGGCUGAACCAGCCAAGUCGCGUGAGGGAUGAAGGUUCUAUGGAUCGUAAACCUCUUUUAUAAGGGAAGAAAGUGCGGGACGUGUCCCGUUUUGUAUGUACCUUAUGAAUAAGGAUCGGCUAACUCCGUG
This 485-nucleotide ribosomal RNA is filed under the name uncultured bacterium. RNAcentral describes it as "partial 16S ribosomal RNA". It matches the Rfam family "Bacterial small subunit ribosomal RNA", at positions 38 to 507 of the family's 1533-position model. The record is from RNAcentral.